GAAACGGCGUUGACGAAGAAGAGUAGCUAUUAUGGAAACUGCAGAGAGCUGAUGGUUGGUGCAAAUCAGUGUGGAAGUAAUAGCGAAUGGGCUUCCGAGCCUCCAAACCGAACCUCUUUAAGGAGCAGUAGGCUUUGGCGAACGGUCUCAUCGUUACAAGAGACAGGUAUUCAAGCAUGAUGCUUUGAUACCGAUAAAGUGAGCUGAUUUUUCAGCUAAUGAAGGUGGCACCACGGGUUUCUCGUCCUUUAC
This 252-nucleotide non-coding RNA is filed under the name Bacillus methanolicus. RNAcentral describes it as "T-box sequence". It matches the Rfam family "T-box leader". From Rfam's summary of the family: Uncharged tRNA acts as the effector for transcription antitermination of genes in the T-box leader family. T-boxes are found upstream of many aminoacyl-tRNA synthetase genes and some amino acid biosynthetic genes usually in Gram-positive bacteria. The record is from RNAcentral. Lineage: Bacteria; Bacillati; Bacillota; Bacilli; Caryophanales; Bacillaceae.